Molecule: ribosomal RNA, 268 nt
Filed under: uncultured bacterium
Lineage: Bacteria
Description: partial 16S ribosomal RNA
Rfam family: Bacterial small subunit ribosomal RNA
Source: RNAcentral
CCCUUUGUAUUCGUACGAAGGUGUCCUAGUGGCGAACGGGUGAGUAACGCGUUGGUGACCUACCCCGAAGUUUGGGAUAACCCUACGAAAGUGGGGCUAAUACCAAAUGUGGUCAUCGGAUUUAGAAACCGAUGUCUAAAGGAUUUAUUCGCAUCGGGAGGGGCCUGCGUCCCAUCAGCUAGUUGGUAAGGUAACGGCUUACCAAGGCUACGACGGGUAGGGGACCUCAGAGGGUGGCCCCCCACAAUGGAACUGAAACACGGUCCAU